CGAACCGGGGGAACUGAAACAUCUAAGUACCCCGAGGAAAAGAAAUCAACCGAGAUUCCCCCAGUAGCGGCGAGCGAACGGGGAGCAGCCCAGAGCCUGAAUCAGUAUGUGUGUUAGUGGAAGCGUCUGGAAAGGCGCGCGAUACAGGGUGACAGCCCCGUACACAAAAAUGCACAUGCUGUGAGCUCGAUGAGUAGGGCGGGACACGUGGUAUCCUGUCUGAAUAUGGGGGGACCAUCCUCCAAGGCUAAAUACUCCUGACUGACCGAUAGUGAACCAGUACCGUGAGGGAAAGGCGAAAAGAACCCCGGCGAGGGGAGUGAAAAAGAACCUGAAACCGUGUACGUACAAGCAGUGGGAGCACGCUUAGGCGUGUGACUGCGUACCUUUUGUAUAAUGGGUCAGCGACUUAUAUUCUGUAGCAAGGUUAACCGAAUAGGGGAGCCGAAGGGAAACCGAGUCUUAACUGGGCGUUAAGUUGCAGGGUAUAGACCCGAAACCCGGUGAUCUAGCCAUGGGCAGGUUGAAGGUUGGGUAACACUAACUGGAGGACCGAACCGACUAAUGUUGAAAAAUUAGCGGAUGACUUGUGGCUGGGGGUGAAAGGCCAAUCAAACCGGGAGAUAGCUGGUUCUCCCCGAAAGCUAUUUAGGUAGCGCCUCGUGAAUUCAUCUCCGGGGGUAGAGCACUGUUUCGGCAAGGGGGUCAUCCCGACUUACCAACCCGAUGCAAACUGCGAAUACCGGAGAAUGUUAUCACGGGAGACACACGGCGGGUGCUAACGUCCGUCGUGAAGAGGGAAACAACCCAGACCGCCAGCUAAGGUCCCAAAGUCAUGGUUAAGUGGGAAACGAUGUGGGAAGGCCCAGACAGCCAGGAUGUUGGCUUAGAAGCAGCCAUCAUUUAAAGAAAGCGUAAUAGCUCACUGGUCGAGUCGGCCUGCGCGGAAGAUGUAACGGGGCUAAACCAUGCACCGAAGCUGCGGCAGCGACGCUUAUGCGUUGUUGGGUAGGGGAGCGUUCUGUAAGCCUGUGAAGGUGUGCUGUGAGGCAUGCUGGAGGUAUCAGAAGUGCGAAUGCUGACAUAAGUAACGAUAAAGCGGGUGAAAAGCCCGCUCGCCGGAAGACCAAGGGUUCCUGUCCAACGUUAAUCGGGGCAGGGUGAGUCGACCCCUAAGGCGAGGCCGAAAGGCGUAGUCGAUGGGAAACAGGUUAAUAUUCCUGUACUUGGUGUUACUGCGAAGGGGGGACGGAGAAGGCUAUGUUGGCCGGGCGACGGUUGUCCCGGUUUAAGCGUGUAGGCUGGUUUUCCAGGCAAA
RNAcentral lists this ribosomal RNA (1318 nucleotides) under Escherichia coli. Its description in RNAcentral is "partial 23S ribosomal RNA". It matches the Rfam family "Bacterial large subunit ribosomal RNA", at positions 180 to 1540 of the family's 2925-position model. Lineage: Bacteria; Pseudomonadati; Pseudomonadota; Gammaproteobacteria; Enterobacterales; Enterobacteriaceae. The record is from RNAcentral.